RNAcentral lists this ribosomal RNA (253 nucleotides) under uncultured bacterium. RNAcentral describes it as "partial 16S ribosomal RNA". It matches the Rfam family "Bacterial small subunit ribosomal RNA", at positions 524 to 776 of the family's 1533-position model. The record is from RNAcentral.
UACGAAGGGGGCGAGCGUUGUUCGGAAUCACUGGGCGUAAAGGGUGCGUAGGCGGCGCGGUAAGUCGGGUGUGAAAUCUCGGAGCUUAACUCCGAAACUGCAUUCGAUACUGCCGUGCUUGAGGACUGGAGAGGAGACUGGAAUUUACGGUGUAGCGGUGAAAUGCGUAGAUAUCGUAAGGAAGACCAGUGGCGAAGGCGGGUCUCUGGACAGUUCCUGACGCUGAGGCACGAAGGUCAGGGGAGCAAACGGG